Molecule: ribosomal RNA, 290 nt
Filed under: uncultured bacterium
Lineage: Bacteria
Description: partial 16S ribosomal RNA
Rfam family: Bacterial small subunit ribosomal RNA
Source: RNAcentral
GGAUUAGAUACCCUGGUAGUCUACGCCGUAAACGAUGUGUGCUCGGUGUGUGGCCCUAGAUGGUUGCGCGCCCAAGCUAACGCGAUAAGCACACCGCCUGGGGAGUACGGCCGCAAGGCUAAAACUCAAAGGAAUUGACGGGGGCCCGCACAAGCAGCGGAGCGUGUGGUUUAAUUCGAUCAACGCGAAGAACCUUACCUGGACUUAACAUGGAAGUGUUAGGGAUCUGAAAAGAAACCGACCUUAGGGAGCUUCCAUAGGUGCUGCAUGGUUGUCGUCAGCUCGUGUUG